RNAcentral lists this transfer RNA (74 nucleotides) under Macleaya cordata. It matches the Rfam family "tRNA". Rfam says of the family: Transfer RNA (tRNA) molecules are approximately 80 nucleotides in length. Their secondary structure includes four short double-helical elements and three loops (D, anti-codon, and T loops). The record is from Rfam by way of RNAcentral. Lineage: Eukaryota; Viridiplantae; Streptophyta; Magnoliopsida; Ranunculales; Papaveraceae.
GAGCCUGUAGCUCAAAGGAUUAGAGCACGUGGCUACGAACCACGGUGUCGGGGGUUCGAAUCCCUCCUUGCCCA